This 496-nucleotide ribosomal RNA is filed under the name uncultured bacterium. Its description in RNAcentral is "SSU rRNA". It matches the Rfam family "Bacterial small subunit ribosomal RNA", at positions 26 to 523 of the family's 1533-position model. The record is from RNAcentral.
AGGACGAACGCUGGCGGCGUGCUUAACACAUGCAAGUCGAGCGGAAAGGCCCUUCGGGGUACUCGAGCGGCGAACGGGUGAGUAACACGUGAGUAAUCUGCCCCUAGCUCUGGGAUAGCUCCGGGAAAACCGGGAUUAAUACCGGAUACGACUGCUACGGACAUCUGUGGUGGUGGAAAGAACUUCGGCUAGGGAUGAGCUCGCGGCCUAUCAGCUUGUUGGUGGGGUAACGGCCUACCAAGGCGACGACGGGUAGCCGGCCUGAGAGGGCGACCGGCCACACUGGGACUGAGACACGGCCCAGACUCCUACGGGAGGCAGCAGUGGGGAAUAUUGCGCAAUGGGCGAAAGCCUGACGCAGCGACGCCGCGUGGGGGAUGAAGGCCUUCGGUUGUAACCCCUUUCAGGAAGGACGAAGCCACUCGGGUUAAUAGCCAGAGGGUGACGGUACUUCCAGAAGAAGCCCCGGCUAACUACGCGCCAGCAGCCGCGGUAA